RNAcentral lists this unclassified non-coding RNA (91 nucleotides) under Flavobacterium hercynium. Its description in RNAcentral is "Flavo-1 RNA". Lineage: Bacteria; Pseudomonadati; Bacteroidota; Flavobacteriia; Flavobacteriales; Flavobacteriaceae. The record is from RNAcentral.
UUGUACACAAGUUCGCGUGAGGGAUAGCAGCGGAAAGCCCACAGCCUGACGAAGGAAGGGCGAGGACUUGAAGCGAAUAGCCCGACCCGGA